AUUGAACGCUGGCGGCAUGCUUUACACAUGCAAGUCGAACGGCAGCGGGGGCUUCGGCCUGCCGGCGAGUGGCGAACGGGUGAGUAAUGCAUCGGAACGUGCCCAGUCAUGGGGGGAUAACUACGCGAAAGCGUAGCUAAUACCGCAUACGCCCUGAGGGGGAAAGUGGGGGAUCUUCGGACCUCACGUGAUUGGAGCGGCCGAUGUCGGAUUAGCUAGUUGGUGGGGUAAAAAGCCCACCAAGGCGACGAUCCGUAGCGGGUCUGAGAGGAUGAUCCGCCACACUGGGACUGAGACACGGCCCAGACUCCUACGGGAGGCAGCAGUAGGGAAUUUUCGGCAAUGGGGGAAACCCUGACCGAGCAAUGCCGCGUGAACGAUGAAGGUCUUCGGAUUGUAAAGUUCUGUGAUUGGGGAAGAAUGGUAUUCUUAGGGAAUGAGGAGUACAUGACGGUACCCGAUUAGAAAGCCCCGGCUAACUAUGUGCCAGCAGCCGCGGUAAUUCACUA
This 509-nucleotide ribosomal RNA is filed under the name uncultured bacterium. RNAcentral's name for it is "bacterial SSU rRNA". It matches the Rfam family "Bacterial small subunit ribosomal RNA", at positions 30 to 529 of the family's 1533-position model. The record is from RNAcentral.